GCCAGGGCCGGUGUGCAAGGAUUUUGUUGAGCUCGCCGAGGUGCUGCAGCUUCUGUGGGGCUUCAUCCAGGCCGUUGAGCCACUUGGGGUCACCGCCCACCUGCAGGAAAUCGUUGACGUGCAGGUUGACCAGGGAUAAAUCUGCUUGGUCCAUUACCCAGGGGCCUUGGGAUCCGUACUCCUGAGUCCUGCAGGACAAAAAGGGAGAAAAAUUAAAUGAUCGGUCGUUAUCACUGGAGGCACCAAUCGCAAAGCUAAAACGCUGUGGAAUAACGUUACUGGGCACCGGUGAUUGGAAGUAGAAACCACCAUAUCACCAGGUGAUUGUUUCAAGUCAGGAAGAUUGCGUCACACCAGAAGCCAAAACAGGAGCGCUGAUCUUACACACCCCACAGGCUUUAACCCUCGGAGAAACGCAACCGGGACGGACUUUGUUGAUAUCCCCUCGAUAACGACUCCAAGUGUUGCGGCUUCA
Long non-coding RNA from Lampris incognitus (smalleye Pacific opah), 475 nucleotides. RefSeq lists it as uncharacterized. The transcript has 3 exons. Lineage: Eukaryota; Metazoa; Chordata; Actinopteri; Lampriformes; Lampridae. The record is from RefSeq and is a predicted model, not a curated record.